GAACGUAUGGGAGGCUUUUGUCUGUCAGCUGCUCUGUGGAGGAUGCAUGUCCCAGCCUAAUCCCCAGCUCGUGAUGUCUUGAAACUGCCAAAAAUGGUUCGCUGGUGUAGGAAAGACCUGGGCUUGGGAAUGGGGCAGAGGUUCCUCUGCAAUGGAAUUGGAAGCUGUGCCGAUUGAGGUAAAUCACUGCUGGUUCAGGGACUGAAAAGCAGCUGAUAAACUCAAAAUUGGACUCAGGAUGGUGAUAAAUGCACCGUUCAGGAGCCACAGCUUCUCUGGAACGUGGGAUGAACCAGCCCUCACGAUCCUGCCCCCAAAAGGAGCGAGGGGUGAGUCAAGGAACACUUGUGUUGUUAUUUACGACCGCAGCGCGGAGCUCCGGUCUCUUGUUUGCAAUGACUUUCCUCUUUGGCAUUAGAUCAAAGAGGAUUAUUAAAGGAGCACAGCAGGAAAGAUGAAAAUGGCUGUUGUAGAGGAGCAUUUUCAAGCACGCAGGCACCGAGCGCUCUGCUCCUGCUUUGACACUGGUGCUGGAAGAUGAGGAGCUCACAAGGUACAGGUGUCCAGGUGGGAGGAGAAAGGAGGACCCUGGCUCUCCCUGCAACCCUUGGAGCUGCUAUUUCUGAAGGAUUAAGAGUUAAUGGGAGUGACAAUGUCCGGGUUACUGAGCUGCUUCUGUGGGUGUCAUCUCCAAACAGCUUCUCCUGGAGAGAUCUACUUUGUGAAACGCACUUAUUACCUAAAUUCAGGUCUGUGGGACACAGCAAAAUAUACCGUGAUUGAGAAAGGGGGGCAGGCAAGACUGGCAUCACACUUGCAAUCAUCUGGUGAGAUCCACAAACAGGAAUAAGCCUCCAAAAAGCACCACUACAGCUACAUGUGUUUUCAGAAGCUUUCCUUGUGGGUGCAAGAUGACAGCAUUUGCCCAUUGUUCUGUUGCUCUGGGCUGUUUGUCCACACCAUCCCUGGAGCGGGGGAGCUUGGACCACAAGGAAGGACACGUUUGGCCAGCCAGCCUCGAGGAGAUUCCGCUGGUGGCAGGGGGACACACUAAGUCUUCAGGUAAAUAGGGCA
Molecule: long non-coding RNA, 1074 nt
Organism: Cuculus canorus (common cuckoo)
Lineage: Eukaryota; Metazoa; Chordata; Aves; Cuculiformes; Cuculidae
Exons: 3
Source: RefSeq, a predicted model, not a curated record